This 431-nucleotide ribosomal RNA is filed under the name uncultured Methanotrichaceae archaeon. RNAcentral's name for it is "bacterial SSU rRNA". It matches the Rfam family "Archaeal small subunit ribosomal RNA", at positions 593 to 1022 of the family's 1478-position model. The record is from RNAcentral. Lineage: Archaea; Methanobacteriati; Methanobacteriota; Methanomicrobia; Methanotrichales; Methanotrichaceae.
UCGAGACCGGGAGAGGUGAGAGGUACUUCAUGGGUAGGGGUGAAAUCUUGUAAUCCUUGAAGGACCACCAGUGGCGAAGGCGUCUCACCAGAACGGAUCUGACGGCAAGGGACGAAAGCUAGGGGCACGAACCGGAUUACAUACCCGGGUAGUCCUAGCCGUAAACGAUACUCGCUAGGUGUCGGCCACGGUGCGACCGUGGUCGGUGCCAUAAGGAAGCCGUGAAGCGAGCCGCCUGGGAAGUACGGCCGCAAGGCUGAAACUUAAAGGAAUUGGCGGGGGAGCACUACAACGGAUGGAGCCUGCGGUUUAAUUGGAUUCAACGCCAGAAAUCUCACCGGGACCGACAGCUAUAUGAAGGCCAGGCUGAACACCUUGCCGGAUUAACUGAGAGGUGGUGCAUGGCCGUCGUCAGUUCUGUACUGUGAUAC